Molecule: ribosomal RNA, 119 nt
Filed under: Pteropus alecto (black flying fox)
Lineage: Eukaryota; Metazoa; Chordata; Mammalia; Chiroptera; Pteropodidae
Source: RNAcentral
GUCUACAGCGAUGCCACCCUGAACAAGCCCGAUCCCGUCUGAUCUCGGAAGCUAAGCAAGGUCAGGCCUGGUUAGUACUUGGAUGGGAGACCACCUAGGAAGACUAUGUGCUGUAGGAG